CCUACGGGAGGCAGCAGUAGGGAAUAUUGGUCAAUGGAUGGAAGUCUGAACCAGCCAUGCCGCGUGCAGGAAGAAGGCCUUCUGGGUUGUAAACUGCUUUUGCCAGGGGAUAAAAAGACCGUGCGCGGUUAAUUGAAGGUACCUGGUGAAUAAGCCACGGCUAACUACGUGCCAGCAGCCGCGGUAAUACGUAGGUGGCAAGCGUUGUCCGGAUUUAUUGGGUUUAAAGGGUGCGUAGGCGGCCCUGUAAGUCAGUGGUGAAAUAUCUCAGCUUAACUGAGAGGGUGCCAUUGAUACUGCAGGGCUUGAGUACAGAUGAGGUAGGCGGAAUUGACGGUGUAGCGGUGAAAUGCAUAGAUAUCGUCAAGAACACCGAUAGCGAAGGCAGCUUACUAAGCUGUAACUGACGCUGAGGCACGAAAGUGUGGGGAUCAAACAGGAUUAGAUACCCUGGUAGUCCACACUGUAAACGUUGAUGACUAGAUGUUGGCGAUACACAGCCAGCGUCCAAGAGCAAUCGUUAAGUCAUCCACCUGGGGAGUACGCCGGCAACGGUGAAACUCAAAUGAAUUGACGG
RNAcentral lists this ribosomal RNA (577 nucleotides) under uncultured bacterium. RNAcentral's name for it is "bacterial SSU rRNA". It matches the Rfam family "Bacterial small subunit ribosomal RNA", at positions 338 to 916 of the family's 1533-position model. The record is from RNAcentral.